UUCUGUGUGCCCUGCGAUUGGCUGGCAACCGAUUCAGGGUGUCCCUCGCCUACUGCCCGAAGACAGCUGGGAUAGGCUCCAACACCCCCCGCGACCCUAGUGAGGAUCAAGCGGCUCGGAAGAUGAAUAAAUGAAUGUUUGUAUAACACAAAAUACAUCAUUUCAAAAAUUGUAAAAUGCGUAACUUAGGGGGUUUUUUUUCAUUUGAAAUUUAAAUUCCAGUUAGGGGCGGCCCGGUAGUCCAGUGGUUAGCACGUCGACUUCACUGUGCAGAGGUACCGGGUUCGAUCCCAGCUCCGGCCUCCCUGUGUGGAGUUUGCAUGUUCUCCCCGGGCCUGCGUGGGUUUUCUCAGGGUACUCCGGUUUCCUCCCACAUUCCAAAGACAUGCAUGGUAGGCUGAUUGAACACUCUCAAUUGUCCCUGGGUGUGAGUAGUGUGACUUUCUCUUGGUUACCAUGUAAAAUGAUAACCUGUUUCAUUUUUUUAAGUGGUGGGAAAUAGGGGCAGCCCGGUGGUCGACUGGUCAGCGCGUAGACCUCACGGUGCAGAGGGUUCGAUUUCGAUUCCGGCUCCAGCCUUCCUGUGUAGACAUGUUGGCCCCGUGCCUGCGUGGGUUUUCUCUCGGUACUCUGGUUUCCUCCCACAUUCCAAAAACAUGCACGGCAGGUGAAUGGAAUACUCUAAUUUGUCCCGAGGUGUGAGUGUGAGCGCGGAUGGUUGUUCGUUUCUGUGUGCCCUGCGAUUGGCUGGCAACCGAUUCAGGGUGUCCCCCGCCUACUGCCCGAAGACAGCUGAGAUAGGCUCCAGCAUGCGUUGCAAGCCUUGAGCGAAUCAGAAAUUGGAUGGAUGGAUGGAUGGAUGGAUGAAUGGGUGAAAAAUGGACCAAAUCUACCUGUGACCGUCCUUUAAUCCGUAUGCAAUGGACACCCAUGCAUAUGUGUCCUUAAAUGCCACAACCAUGUAAAGCUGCGAUCUUCACUUUAUUGUGAAUCUUAUUCAAUCAUAUUUUAAUGGUUGCAAGCUCAAAAUAAGAGAUUAAAAGGAAUGGCGUUCAUGCAGAAACUGAAACGGGCCUCUUCACCAAUGUUCUGUGUCCGUCAUUCAGGCUGUGGGCUACA
Hippocampus zosterae (dwarf seahorse) is the source of this 1119-nucleotide long non-coding RNA. RefSeq lists it as uncharacterized. The record is from RefSeq and is a predicted model, not a curated record. The transcript is spliced from 2 exons. Lineage: Eukaryota; Metazoa; Chordata; Actinopteri; Syngnathiformes; Syngnathidae.